This 255-nucleotide ribosomal RNA is filed under the name uncultured bacterium. Its description in RNAcentral is "partial 16S ribosomal RNA". It matches the Rfam family "Bacterial small subunit ribosomal RNA", at positions 524 to 776 of the family's 1533-position model. The record is from RNAcentral.
UACGGAGGAUCCCGAGCGUUAUCCGGAUUUAUUGGGUUUAAAGGGUGCGUAGGCGGCCUGUUAAGUCAGGGGUGAAAGACGGUAGCUCAACUAUCGCAGUGCCCUUGAUACUGAUGGGCUAGGAAUGUACUAGAGGCAGGCGGAAUGUGACAAGUAGCGGUGAAAUGCAUAGAUAUGUCACAGAACACCAAUUGCGAAGGCAGCUUGCUAUGGUAAUAAUUGCGCUGAGGCACGAAAGCGUGGGGAUCAAACAGG